UCGAACGCGAAAGCCCCGAAAGGGGCAAGUAGAGUGGCAAACGGGUGAGUAACGCGUGGGUGACCUGCCUUCGAGCGGGGGAUAACGUUUCGAAAGGAACGCUAAUACCGCAUAACAUCCUGCCUUUGAAGAGGUGGAGAUCAAAGCUGGGGAUCGCAAGACCCGGCACUUGAAGAGGGGCCCGCGUCUGAUUAGCUAGUUGGUGGGGUAACGGCCUACCAAGGCAACGAUCAGUAUCCGGCCUGAGAGGGCGGACGGACACACUGGGACUGAGACACGGCCCAGACUCCUACGGGAGGCAGCAGUGGGGAAUUGUUCGCAAUGGGCGCAAGCCUGACGACGCAACGCCGCGUGGAGGAUGAAGAUUUUCGGAUCGUAAACUCCUGUCGAAUGGGACGAAAAAGUUGCGGGUUAACAGCCCGCGAUUCUGACGGUACCGUUAAAGGAAACCCCGGCUAACUCCGUGCCAGCAGCCGCGGUAAUACGGGGGGGGUAAGCGUUGUUCGGAAUUACUGGGCGUAAAGGGCUCGUAGGCGGCCAACUAAGUCAGACGUGAAAUCCCUCAGCUUAACUGGGGAACUGCGUCUGAUACUGGAUGGCUUGGAUUCGGGAGAGGGAUGCCGAAUUCCAGGUGUAGCGGUGAAAUGCGUAGAUAUCUGGAGGAACACCG
This 670-nucleotide ribosomal RNA is filed under the name uncultured bacterium. RNAcentral's name for it is "bacterial SSU rRNA". It matches the Rfam family "Bacterial small subunit ribosomal RNA", at positions 62 to 711 of the family's 1533-position model. The record is from RNAcentral.